GGUUACGGCCAUACACACUAGAAAACACCGGAUCCCGUCCGAUCUCCGAAGUUAAGCUAGUGAUGGCGCAGUCAGUACUAUGGUGGGGGACCACAUGGGAAUACUGCGUGUCGUAAUUU
This is a ribosomal RNA of Neocallimastix californiae, 119 nucleotides long. Lineage: Eukaryota; Fungi; Neocallimastigomycota; Neocallimastigomycetes; Neocallimastigales; Neocallimastigaceae. The record is from Rfam.